AUGGUUUGGGAUAUAUUCUCAGUUAUUUACUCCUCUUUCAAUCCUCAUAAAAAAAACCAUCAGAAUUCGACCCCUCUAUGCAUACGAGUAAGACUUCUAAUCUCCGUCUUCUAUUUAGGCAUUAUGGCCAGUUAUGUUAUUAUAGGUUAAGUUGUAUACUAUUUAUCUGGUCUCUGAUCUAUAGCAAUAUGUAUUAUUUACUUUUAUUCAUCUAACAUGAUUUGAGGAUUCUUACUCUUCCUUGAUUUAAAAACAGUUAAAUGGAUGCAACAAACAUAUCCUUGCUAAGUGAACUUUAUGUUCUAACAAUGAUUCUACUAUAAAAGUCCAUAUCAUCAGACUGUGGAAGUAACCGGUCUACAAAAACCCAACCGCAACACUAUUUUAUAGGAUGGUCUUAAUAGAUGAGCAGGCUUGCCAAAUCAUGGAUUAGUACUAAAGGUCGGUGUUCCAGUAAUGUUGUUACUAAGAAAUAUUGAUAAAAAAAUGGUUUAUGCAAUGGAAGUCGGCUACAGGUCUUAUCAUUGCGAUUGUGGAAGCACAAAUCUCAUCUGGAAAUAAUAUUGGUGCUCGAACGUUUAUCCCGAGAUCUCGAUUAAUAUCGUCAUUUGGUUUAUGCAAUGUAACGUUUAUAAUGGAAAUAUUAUUAUAUCAUCAUUCGGUUUUAUUCAUCAAACCAUGUAACACACGGGGCUAUAAACUAGUAUCCUAAUAAAAGGUCCUAGAAUCUAAUCUAAUCUAUAUAUAUAUGAUAAUAGAUGAAGUGAAUGAACAGUGACACAUAGAUGGUUGGCAAUAUUCUAUUGGACCACAUUUUUUUACUACGUGUUUUUUUUACAUGCCCUGAGUUGCCACGCAUCAGUUCAAAUCACCUACAUAAAAACCCACCGCCACUGCAGAUGAAAACCGAGAGAGAACUGAAGCGGCAAAAGAGUGAUAGAGAGGGGGUAAGGCAUGUGUCUUUUCACCCACGUGUCAAGAAGCCCAAGCCCUUUACUAAAUACGCUUUCAGAAUCCAUAUUCCAGAAAAGAGAACCUGAGGAAAGGAGGGUCUGCUAUAUACAGAGAGAGAGAUAGACGGAGUAGGCCUCCGGCGGCAGCAACGAUGGUUAAACGGUCCGAAUGAUGGUGGAUUCAAUUGACAUUAGGGUUCAGGUGUUUAGAAACUGCGAUGAUGGUGGAUCUGAGUAUUGAACACGGUGACGUUUGUUAGGGUUCCGCCGUACACGGCGGAGGAGAUGGUGGGUCACCGGCGACAUCAUGGAGAUCCGCUGAAGAAUCAGGAACCGGAACUCCGGUGGAUCUGAGGUACGCGAUCAGCGACAUCAUGAGAUCCGCUGAUGAACCAGGAACCCGAACUCCGGUGGAUCUGGUGACUGAGGUCAUAUUAUGGACAGAGGAGAAAGGACGCAAAGAAGAGAGACGGAAGGCGGAAGUUCAACCCAAAAUCUUUGAAAGAGCUGAAGGAAACAUGUUUUGAUUCUGCUUUUGCAAUUUUUCGGAGUUGGAUGCUAUAUUAAUCAUAGGUAGCGUUAAUGUGGGAUGUUUGGUGGGGAUCUUUGUUGUUGGUACGAGUGAAGGUCAAAACCUUACACCAUUAUAGAUCACAUUACUCAUCUAUUUCAUCACCCAUAACCUUAAUUUUGAUGUUAUUGUCAUAUUUGAAGCUCCAAUCCACUGUGUUUGGAGCAGCCUUAGAAUAGGAAAUCUUCAUUUUUACAGUUGGUUUUUGUUUAUGUUUAUGGGUUUCUAAUUGAUGAUACUAUUAUAGUUCAGGAAAUGAUUUGCUUGGUUUGUUGAUUAUGCAUAAAGUCUCAUGCAUAUAGUAUUCAGCCCAUCAAAGCUACUGCCAAGCCACACCUUGUAGUGUUUUGACGCAAAACUUUCACGUGCAACGCUAAGAUAAUAGAAAUUCUGACAAGGAAAAAUUGGUAUUAGAAUGCAUGGCCAGGUUGCUUGAAAACAAUAUACAAAAACUGGGACCAGAUGAGGAUACCCAACGGAUGGAAAAGGUGACACUCCCAAAUGCAUAUGAGGGCAUCAACAAUACGAAGAAGACCAUGUACCAAGAUGCCUGAAUCAUAAGGAAAUCGAAUCUUUCGAAAGCUAAGAAAAAUACUGUUGCGAUGCAUGUUGACAAUUAUGUACUUAGAAUAUGUUUAAACCUGGCUAUCUUUUGUAAAACAUUAAAUACUAUAAGUAGUUUUAUGUACUAAUUUGGUUAAAAUUAACUGCCUUUUGUAAAACAAAAUCUGUUGCUACAAGUAGUUUAAAACCACACUCAUCUACAUAGAAUUUACGUGCACAACAACGCGAAUUGUUA
Molecule: long non-coding RNA, 2323 nt
Filed under: Helianthus annuus (common sunflower)
Lineage: Eukaryota; Viridiplantae; Streptophyta; Magnoliopsida; Asterales; Asteraceae
Source: RNAcentral